CGUUAGCGGCGGACGGGUGAGUAACGCGUGGACAACCUGCCCUAUGCGAGGGGGAUAACAUCCGGAAACGGGUGCUAAUACCGCAUAAGCGCACAGUACCGCAUGGUACGGUGUGAAAAGCUGAGGCGGCAUAGGAUGGGUCCGCGUUGGAUUAGGCAGUUGGCGGGGUAACGGCCCACCAAACCGACGAUCCAUAGCCGGCCUGAGAGGGUGGACGGCCACAUUGGGACUGAGACACGGCCCAGACUCCUACGGGAGGCAGCAG
Molecule: ribosomal RNA, 265 nt
Filed under: uncultured bacterium
Lineage: Bacteria
Description: partial 16S ribosomal RNA
Rfam family: Bacterial small subunit ribosomal RNA
Source: RNAcentral